Molecule: long non-coding RNA, 1692 nt
Organism: Oncorhynchus keta (chum salmon)
Lineage: Eukaryota; Metazoa; Chordata; Actinopteri; Salmoniformes; Salmonidae
Exons: 2
Source: RefSeq, a predicted model, not a curated record
GAGACAGAGUUUACAAAGAGAGGAGGGAGACAGAGAGAGGAGGGAGACAGAGAGAGAGGAGGGAGACAGAGAGAGGAGGGAGACAGAGAUAGGAGGGAGAUAGAGAUAGUUCACAGGGAUCAUGGAGACAGAGAGAUAUAGAUCACAGGGAUCAUGGAGACAGAGAGAUAUAGAUCACAGGGAUCAUGGAGACAGAGAGAUAUAGAUCACAGGGAUCAUGGAGACAGAGAGAUACAGAUCACAGGGAUCAUGGAGACAGAGAGAUAUAGAUCACAGGGAUCAUGGAGACAGAGAGAUAUAGAUCACAGGGAUCAUGGAGACAGAGAGAUAUAGAUCACAGGGAUCAUGGAGACAGAGAGAUAUAGAUCACAGGGAUCAUGGAGACAGAGAGAUAUAGUUCACAGGGAUCAUGGAGACAGAGAGAUAUAGAUCACAGGGAUCAUGGAGACAGAGAGAUAUAGAUCACAGGGAUCAUGGAGACAGAGAGAUAUAGAUCACAGGGAUCAUGGAGACAGAGAGAUAUAGAUCACAGGGAUCAUGGAGUGUCAUUCAAGACAAAAACGAAUGGAGAGACUCCUUUAACUCCAUCCCUCCAUCCCUGGAGAAGAAAGAGCUCAAACGAAACAAAGGAGGAAGGACUAUAGGAGAUGGAUAAAAAGCCAAUCCACUUUCUUGGACACACAAUCCAGCCCUAAGCUACGUGUUAUUGGAGGAGAGCCAUGUGUGGAGAAGCUAGUGCCACAUCUAUCCAGGAGUAGAGAGACAGUACAACCGCUUGGGUCUUGGAUAAAUAGACCUCAUGCUACUUUCUACAUUUCUGCUUUUCUUUGGUUUCGCCCAACUGUUCUGUUUUAUGUUCCAUGAAAAAGGUUAACUGUAACCUGAGACAGAUUUUUGUGUUUUUGAAGUCAAUCUGGGUUGAGUUUUAGAAUUGGUUGUGCCUGGAGCAAAACGAAAAGAGAGUGGGGUGGAGGGAUGACUGGAUGGAGGAUGAAGGGGUAGAGGUGGUGAACUCUGACUUUGACUCUCCAAGUGCCUUGGAGCUCUCUCUCUAGGCCUGAUUGAACUGGGAGCUGAGACAUAGGCUGUGGCCCUAAUGGCACCCUAUUCCCUAUGUAGCACACUAUCAGGCUCUGGUCACAAGUACUGCACUACUAUAGGGAAUAGGGCUCUGGUCUAUAGUAGUGUACUAUAUAGGGAAUAGGGCUCUGGUCUAUAGUAAUGCACUGUAUAGGGAAUAGGGCUCUGGUCUAAAGUAGUGCACUAUAUAGGGAAUAGGGUUUGGGACUGGGCCAUAGUAUUACCUCUCCUGUCUGUGAGAGAGAACCACUCUCUCAAACCAACCACAUGGUUGUCACUAGUUACCACAGCCACAAAGUCAAAAUGGACUAUAUCGCAAAAAUUAUUAAUUUAAGGUUGUGUAUGAGGUUGUCAUUGUGGUUAAGGUUAUAGCUAAGGUUUUAAAAUAGAAUUGAAUCGGAUCACCCAUACGUAGAAUGUAUGCACACAUGACUGUAAGUCGCUUUGGAUAAAAGCGUCUGCUAAAUGGCAUAUAUUAUUAUUAUUAUUAUCAUUUGUAGAAAUAUCAAUAAUGUCCACUUUGUGGCUGUGUUAACUAGACAGAUUACUGUUUGUAGACUUUGUGUACAGAAACAUGAUUUUGUUCUUAUUUAAUAAAGGCUGAAUAACGUG